AGAGUUUGAUCCUGGCUCAGGAUGAACGCUAGCGGCAGGCUUAACACAUGCAAGUCGAGGGGUAACAGGAUCUUCGGAUCGCUGACGACCGGCGCACGGGUGCGUAACGCGUAUGCAACCUACCUUUAACUGGAGGAUAGCCCCGAGAAAUCGGGAUUAAUACUCCAUAGUAUUCCCAAGUGGCAUCACUCUGGAAUUAAAGCUCCGGCGGUUAAAGGUGGGCAUGCGUGACAUUAGUUUGUUGGUGAGGUAACGGCUCACCAAGACUACGAUGUCUAGGGGUUCUGAGAGGAUGAUCCCCCACACUGGUACUGAGACACGGACCAGACUCCUACGGGAGGCAGCAGUGAGGAAUAUUGGUCAAUGGACGCAAGUCUGAACCAGCCAUGCCGCGUGCAGGAUGACGGCCCUAUGGGUUGUGAACUGCUUUUAUUAAGGAAUAAACCCCCGAACGUGUUCGGGGCUGAACGUACUUAAAGAAUAAGCAUCGGCUAACUCCGUGCCAGCAGCCGCGGUAAUACGGAGGAUGCAAGCGUUAUCCGGAUUCAUUGGGUUUAAAGGGUUCGCAGGCGGCGUAUUAAGUCAGUGGUGAAAUCCCUCGGCUCAACCGAGGAACUGCCAUUGAUACUGGUAUGCUAGAGUAUAGUUGGCGUAGGCGGAAUGUAUCAUGUAGCGGUGAAAUGCUUAGAUAUGAUACAGAACACCGAUCGCGAAGGCAGCUUACGAAACUAUAACUGACGCUCAGGAACGAAAGCGUGGGGAGCGAACAGGAUUAGAUACCCUGGUAGUCCACGCUGUAAACGAUGAUUACUCGUUGUCGGCGAUACACAGUCGGUGGCUAAGCGAAAGUGAUAAGUAAUCCACCUGGGGAGUACGAUCGCAAGGUUGAAACUCAAAGGAAUUGACGGGGGCCCGCACAAGCGGAGGAGCAUGUGGUUUAAUUCGAUGAUACGCGAGGAACCUUACCUGGGCUUAAAUGUAGAUUGCAUGAAGGGGAAACCUUUCUUUUCUUCGGAACUAUUUACAAGGUGCUGCAUGGUUGUCGUCAGCUCGUGCCGUGAGGUGUCGGGUUAAGUCCCAUAACGAGCGCAACCCCUACCUUUAGUUGCCAUCAGGUAAUGCUGGGGACUCUAAAGGAACUGCCUACGCAAGUAGUGAGGAAGGUGGGGAUGACGUCAAAUCAGCACGGCCCUUACGUCCAGGGCUA
RNAcentral lists this ribosomal RNA (1207 nucleotides) under metagenome. RNAcentral describes it as "bacterial SSU rRNA". It matches the Rfam family "Bacterial small subunit ribosomal RNA", at positions 8 to 1216 of the family's 1533-position model. The record is from RNAcentral.